UACUGAGGGUCGGCAAUCGGG
Molecule: non-coding RNA, 21 nt
Filed under: Arabidopsis thaliana (thale cress)
Lineage: Eukaryota; Viridiplantae; Streptophyta; Magnoliopsida; Brassicales; Brassicaceae
Source: RNAcentral